This 72-nucleotide transfer RNA is filed under the name Marmota monax (woodchuck). Its description in RNAcentral is "tRNA.Val". The stretch from base 4 to 65 matches the Rfam family "tRNA", at positions 6 to 65 of the family's 71-position model. From Rfam's summary of the family: Transfer RNA (tRNA) molecules are approximately 80 nucleotides in length. Their secondary structure includes four short double-helical elements and three loops (D, anti-codon, and T loops). Further hydrogen bonds mediate the characteristic L-shaped molecular structure. tRNAs have two regions of fundamental functional importance: the anti-codon, which is responsible for specific mRNA codon recognition, and the 3' end, to which the tRNAs corresponding amino acid is attached (by aminoacyl-tRNA synthetases). tRNAs cope with the degeneracy of the genetic code in two manners: having more than one tRNA (with a specific anti-codon) for a particular amino acid; and 'wobble' base-pairing, i.e. permitting non-standard base-pairing at the 3rd anti-codon position. Lineage: Eukaryota; Metazoa; Chordata; Mammalia; Rodentia; Sciuridae. The record is from RNAcentral.
GGGUAUAGCUCGGUUGGUAGAGCACUCAUCUAACAUGUGGAAGAUCCUGGGUUCGAUCCCUAGUAGCACCCA